Molecule: ribosomal RNA, 445 nt
Filed under: uncultured bacterium
Lineage: Bacteria
Description: partial 16S ribosomal RNA
Rfam family: Bacterial small subunit ribosomal RNA
Source: RNAcentral
GUAGGGAAUAUUGGGCAAUGGAGGCAACUCUGACCCAGCCAUGCCGCGUGCAGGAUGACGGCCCUCUGGGUUGUAAACUGCUUUUAUACGGGAAGAAAAAAUACUACGUGUAGUAUAUUGACGGUACCGUAAGAAUAAGGAUCGGCUAACUCCGUGCCAGCAGCCGCGGUAAUACGGAGGAUCCAAGCGUUGUCCGGAUUUAUUGGGUUUAAAGGGUGCGUAGGCGGAUCUUUAAGUCAGUGGUGAAAGCCUGCAGCUUAACUGUAGAAUUGCCAUUGAAACUGAAGAUCUUGAAUGUGGUUAAAGUAGGCGGAAUGUAUCAUGUAGCGGUGAAAUGCUUAGAUAUGAUACAGAACACCGAUAGCGAAGGCAGCUUGCUGAACCAUUAUUGACGCUGAGGCACGAAAGCGUGGGGAGCGAACAGGAUUAGAUACCCGUGUAGUCC